RNAcentral lists this ribosomal RNA (497 nucleotides) under uncultured bacterium. RNAcentral describes it as "partial 16S ribosomal RNA". It matches the Rfam family "Bacterial small subunit ribosomal RNA", at positions 28 to 507 of the family's 1533-position model. The record is from RNAcentral.
GAUGAACGCUGGCGGCGUGCCUAAUACAUGCAAGUCGAGCGAACGGACGAGAAGCUUGCUUUUCUGAUGUUAGCGGCGGACGGGUGAGUAACACGUGGAUAACCUACCUAUAAGACUGGGAUAACUUCGGGAAACCGGAGCUAAUACCGGAUAAUAUUUUGAACCGCAUGGUUCAAAAGUGAAAGACGGUCUUGCUGUCACUUAUAGAUGGAUCCGCGCUGCAUUAGCUAGUUGGUAAGGUAACGGCUUACCAAGGCAACGAUGCAUAGCCGACCUGAGAGGGGGAUCGGCGGCCCUGGAAGGGAGACACGGUCCAGACGCCUACGAGAGGCAGCAGUAGGGAAUCUUCGGCAGUGGGCGAAAGCAUGACGGAGCAACGCCGCGUGAGUGAUGAAGGUCUUCGGAUCGUAAAACUCUGUUAUUAGGGAAGAACAUAUGUGUAAGUAACUGUGCACAUCUUGACGGUACCUAAGCAGAAAGCCACGGCUAACUACGUG